UGGGGAAUUUUUCGCAAUGGGGGAAACCCUGACGAAGCAACGCCGCGUGGAGGAUGAAGGCCUUCGGGUCGUAAACUCCUGUCGACUGGGAAGAAUGCACCUGACCUAAUACGUCAAAGUGUUGACUGUACCGGUGGAGGAAGCCACGGCUAACUCUGUGCCAGCAGCCGCGGUAAUACAGAGGUGGCAAGCGUUGUUCGGAAUUACUGGGCGUAAAGGGCGCGUAGGCGGCCCGCCAAGUCCCGUGUGA
RNAcentral lists this ribosomal RNA (250 nucleotides) under uncultured bacterium. RNAcentral describes it as "partial 16S ribosomal RNA". It matches the Rfam family "Bacterial small subunit ribosomal RNA", at positions 355 to 597 of the family's 1533-position model. The record is from RNAcentral.